RNAcentral lists this ribosomal RNA (492 nucleotides) under uncultured bacterium. RNAcentral's name for it is "partial 16S ribosomal RNA". It matches the Rfam family "Bacterial small subunit ribosomal RNA", at positions 29 to 507 of the family's 1533-position model. The record is from RNAcentral.
AGUGAACGCUGGCGGUAGGCCUAACACAUGCAAGUCGAACGGCAGCACAGUAAGAGCUUGCUCUUACGGGUGGCGAGUGGCGGACGGGUGAGGAAUACAUCGUAAUCUACUUUUUCGUGGGGGAUAACGUAGGGAAACUUACGCUAAUACCGCAUACGACCUACGGGUGAAAGCAGGGGAUCUUCGGACCUUGCGCGAUUGAAUGAGCCGAUGUCGGAUUAGCUAGUUGGCGGGGUAAAGGCCCACCAAGGCGACGAUCCGUAGCUGGUCUGAGAGGAUGAUCAGCCACACUGGAACUGAGACACGGUCCAGACUCCUACGGGAGGCAGCAGUGGGGAAUAUUGGACAAUGGGCGCAAGCCUGAUCCAGCCAUACCGCGUGGGUGAAGAAGGCCUUCGGGUUGUAAAGCCCUUUUGUUGGGAAAGAACAGCAGCAGGUUAAUACCCCGCUGUUCUGACGGUACCCAAAGAAUAAGCACCGGCUAACUUCGUG